This 67-nucleotide transfer RNA is filed under the name Arabidopsis lyrata subsp. lyrata. It matches the Rfam family "tRNA". From Rfam's summary of the family: Transfer RNA (tRNA) molecules are approximately 80 nucleotides in length. Their secondary structure includes four short double-helical elements and three loops (D, anti-codon, and T loops). The record is from Rfam by way of RNAcentral. Lineage: Eukaryota; Viridiplantae; Streptophyta; Magnoliopsida; Brassicales; Brassicaceae.
AGGGAUGUAGCGCAACUUGGUUUGUUUUGGGUACAAAAUGUCACGGAUUCAAAUCCUGUCAUCCCUA